RNAcentral lists this long non-coding RNA (2428 nucleotides) under Salmo salar (Atlantic salmon). RNAcentral's name for it is "lncRNA (ENSSSAG00000089438.1)". Lineage: Eukaryota; Metazoa; Chordata; Actinopteri; Salmoniformes; Salmonidae. The record is from RNAcentral.
CAGUGUUAAAGCUCGUUCCCAUUGAAACGUUUAGGAAUGAAUUUUCUGCCAUCUAGUGUGAAAAAAAUGGAACAUCGGUUAUUAAACAUUCCACCCAUGAUCGCAAGAGCAUCGAACUUCACGAGGCUACAAUAACAUGAAAAGGCUCCACUUUUCAGAAUUAUACAUCGUUGAACUUUUCAUCUAUUAAAAUUAGAGCAGAUGCCAUGUUUACUGUCAGAGAGAAACCACAUCAGUCCUAGACCAGUAGGUGGAAACACCAAAGUGACCAUCUUGGGUGUGGGUAAUGUCAGUAUGGCAUGUUCCCUCAGUAUAUUACAGUCGAGUGUGGCUGAUGAAGUCACCGUGGUGGAUGCUAUAGAGGACUGCAUGGAGAGGAGCUGGACACGCAGCAAGCCAGCCUCUUCCUGAAGACCUCCAAGAUCACAGCCGCCAGAGACUACUCAGACACAGCCAACUCCAAGCUGUGCGUCAUCACUGCAGGCAUGCGUCAGAGGAAGAGGGAGAGUCGUCAGGAUCUGCUCCAGAGGAACAUUUAGGUGUUGAAGCAGAUCAUCCCUCAACUGGCCCAGCACAGCCCUGACACCAUCCUCCUGGUCAUAUAAACCCCUAGUACCUCACUACACCAUGUCCACUUCUUAUAUUCGUAUAUGGAGAAGUGAGUAGGAUAUUAUCAGACUGAUGAGAAGAGUCAAGUCAAACUUAGUUACAUGACUCAUUUUCCCUAAGUAAAGGUUUCUUCCUAGCGUGGAGAAACCCUGUCCAAUAGUAAUUGAGCAUGUAUAUAUUUGUUUCUAACCCUGGCUGGUGGCUAACCCGAUGGUACUGAACUCUGUGGCACUCUGAUGGAUGUGCUGACCUAUGUGGCAUGGAGGCUGAGUGGGUUCCCUCAGAACAGGGUCAGCGGAACCAAUCUGGACUCAACAUCGUUCUCCUACUUGACGGGAGAGGGACUGCAGAUCCACCCUAGCAGUGUCCACGGACACAUCAUAGGAGAGCACCGGGACUCCAGUGGUGCCACUCCCCUGUAUCAGGAGGGGUGCAUCACUUGAGUGGGUUGAGUCACUGACACGGUCUUCCUGUCUGGGUUGCCCCCCCGGAUUGUGCCAUGGCGGAGAUCUUUGUGGGCUAUUCUCCGGCCUUGUCUCAGGAUGGACCUGAGCCCUAGGACCAUGACUCGGGACUACCUGGCCUGAUGACUCCUUGCUGUCCCCAGUCCACCUGCCAUGCUGCUACUCCAGUUUCAACUGUUCUGCUUGCGGCUAUGGAACCCUGACCUGUUCACCGGACGUGCUACCUGUCCCAGACCUGCUGUUUUCAACUCUCUAGAGACAGCAGGAGCAGUAGAGAUACUCUGAAUGAUCAGCUAUGAAAAGCCAACUGACAUUUCCUCCUGAGGUGCUGACCUGUUGCUCCCUCGACAACCACUGUGAUUAUUAUUAUUUGACCCUGCUGGUCAUCUAUGAACGUUUGAACAUCUUGGCCAUGUUCUGUUAUAAUCUCCACCCGGCACAGCCAGAAGAUGACUGGCCACCCCUCAUAGCCUGGUUCCUCUCUAGGUUUCUUCCUAGGUUCUGGCCUUUCUAGGGAGUUUUUCCUAGCCACCGUGCUUCUACACCUGCAUUGCUUGCUGUUUGGGGUUUUAGGCUGGGUUUCUGUACAGCACUUUGUGACAUCAGCUGAUGUAAGAAGGGCUUUAUAAAUACACUUGAUUGAUUGUACUCCAGGCAGUCAUAGACAGGUAAUGAAGAUCAGCAUUGUCCUUGUCACAAGUAAAUGUGUAUCACCAAUUAAUCUCUAGAAACAGGGGCAUAGAUUACUGUUAGAGCAAGUCAGUAUUAUCUUGAGUAUGUAUACACACACAGUAAUAUGGGACUCUAAAGUAGUGGAAAAUGUCUCUUCAGUGGUUAUGAGGUGAUUCGGCUGAAGGGGCACACCCCCUGGGUCAUUGGUCUGAGUGUGUCCAGCCUAGCACAGGUCAUACUGAAGAACCUCAGCACCAUUCACCCUGUGUCCAUCCUUGUCAAGUAUGUGUGUUCGUGUGUGUGUGUUUCCCAGGGCAUGUGUGGGAUAGAGGAGGAGGUGUACUCACCCAGCCCCUGAGGGAGACAGAGGUUCAGGGGCUGCAGGAGAGGGCAUGGUUCCUGGGACAAACCAACAGCGAGCUGAUCCUCUGAGCCACGGAACUCCAGGACAAAGAAUGAAUCAAGCUCAUACAUUAGUUUACACUGAGGUUAACUGAUGUUGUCAUGUGUACAGUAACAACGUCUAAACACUAAACAUGACCCAUCAAGCUCAUACAUGUGAUUUGUAUAUAUUUGUGUUGUAUCAUCAAUAGAUGUCUGUAUCGCAAAACAAAUAUACAGACUGCGUGUGAUGAAUAAAGAGUUAUUGGAAACUGUUUUGCCCCAUCUUCAAUACAUAAAGG